GUGAACGGCCAUACCACGUUGAAAACACCGGUUCUCGUCUGAUCACCGAAGUUAAGCAACGUCGGGCCCGGUUAGUACUUGGAUGGGUGACCGCCUGGGAAUACCGGGUGCUGUAGACU
RNAcentral lists this ribosomal RNA (119 nucleotides) under Capitella teleta. The record is from RNAcentral. Lineage: Eukaryota; Metazoa; Annelida; Polychaeta; Capitellidae.